UACGUAGGGGGCGAGCGUUGUCCGGAUUUAUUGGGCGUAAAGAGCUCGUAGGCGGUUUGUCGCGUCUGUCGUGAAAGCUUGGGGCUUAACCCCAAGUCUGCGGUGGAUACGGGCAGACUAGAGGCAGGUAGGGGAGAACGGAAUUCCCGGUGUAGCGGUGAGAUGCGCAGAUAUCGGGAGGAACACCGGUGGCGAAGGCGGUUCUCUGGGCCUGUACUGACGCUGAGGAGCGAAAGCGUGGGGAGCGAACAGG
RNAcentral lists this ribosomal RNA (253 nucleotides) under uncultured bacterium. Its description in RNAcentral is "partial 16S ribosomal RNA". It matches the Rfam family "Bacterial small subunit ribosomal RNA", at positions 524 to 776 of the family's 1533-position model. The record is from RNAcentral.